RNAcentral lists this non-coding RNA (24 nucleotides) under Arabidopsis thaliana (thale cress). Lineage: Eukaryota; Viridiplantae; Streptophyta; Magnoliopsida; Brassicales; Brassicaceae. The record is from RNAcentral.
UGCUCAGCUUGUCUUGUUGAGUGC